GACGAACGCUGGCGGCGUGCUUAACACAUGCAAGUCGAACGGAAAGGCCCUGCUUUUGUGGGGUGCUCGAGUGGCGAACGGGUGAGUAACACGUGAGUAACCUGCCCUUGACUUUGGGAUAACUUCAGGAAACUGGGGCUAAUACCGGAUAGGAGCUCCUGCUGCAUGGUGGGGGUUGGAAAGUUACGGCGGUUGGGGAUGGACUCGCGGCUUAUCAGCUUGUUGGUGGGGUAGUGGCUUACCAAGGCUUUGACGGGUAGCCGGCCUGAGAGGGUGACCGGCCACAUUGGGACUGAGAUACGGCCCAGACUCCUACGGGAGGCAGCAGUGGGGAAUAUUGCACAAUGGGCGGAAGCCUGAUGCAGCAACGCCGCGUGCGGGAUGACGGCCUUCGGGUUGUAAACCGCUUUCGCCUGUGACGAAGCGUGAGCGACGGUAAUGGGUAAAGAAGCACCGGCUAACUACGUG
Molecule: ribosomal RNA, 468 nt
Filed under: uncultured bacterium
Lineage: Bacteria
Description: partial 16S ribosomal RNA
Rfam family: Bacterial small subunit ribosomal RNA
Source: RNAcentral